RNAcentral lists this long non-coding RNA (261 nucleotides) under Dasypus novemcinctus (nine-banded armadillo). RNAcentral describes it as "lncRNA (ENSDNOG00000051484.1)". The record is from RNAcentral. Lineage: Eukaryota; Metazoa; Chordata; Mammalia; Cingulata; Dasypodidae.
CCUAGGCACUCUUCCAGGAGCUCCACCCGUGCCCCCGAGAGAAGGUGGGCGGCCCAAAACACGGCUCGUGUUAAGUCUUAGGAUUUUAUGUAGAAGGGGCUGAUGCACCGGGCCUGGUGUGCACUAAAACAAUCAAACAGGAAAUACACCCAUUCCAUCCCCACCACCACCCAUCAGCUAGAACUGGAUGUUCACUUCUUUGUUACCCAAGGUAAAGUAAAUACAAAUACAGUUGGCUUAUGUUUCAGGAAGUGGAGUGUU